UACGUAGGGUGCGAGCGUUGUCCGGAAUUAUUGGGCGUAAAGAGCUCGUAGGCGGUUUGUCGCGUCGGCUGUGAAAACCUAGGGCUCAACUCUGGGCUUGCAGCCGAUACGGGCAAACUAGAAUUCGGUAGGGGAGACUGGAAUUCCUGGUGUAGCGGUGAAAUGCGCAGAUAUCAGGAGGAACACCUGUGGCGAAAGCGGCUCACUGGACCACAACUGACGCUGAGGCGCGAAAGCUAGGGGAGCAAACAGG
This 253-nucleotide ribosomal RNA is filed under the name uncultured bacterium. RNAcentral's name for it is "partial 16S ribosomal RNA". It matches the Rfam family "Bacterial small subunit ribosomal RNA", at positions 524 to 776 of the family's 1533-position model. The record is from RNAcentral.